This 579-nucleotide ribosomal RNA is filed under the name uncultured bacterium. RNAcentral describes it as "bacterial SSU rRNA". It matches the Rfam family "Bacterial small subunit ribosomal RNA", at positions 142 to 743 of the family's 1533-position model. The record is from RNAcentral.
GAUAGCCACUGGAAACGGUGAUUAAUACCGGAUACUCCUUCUUGUUAUAAGACAAGUCGGGAAAGUUUUUCGCUAAGGGAUCAGUCUAUGUUCCAUCAGCUUGUUGGUGAGGUAAUGGCUCACCAAGGCUAUGACGGAUAUCUGGUUUGAGAGGAUGAUCAGACACACUGGAACUGAGACACGGUCCAGACUCCUACGGGAGGCAGCAGUGAGGAAUAUUGCACAAUGGAGGAAACUCUGAUGCAGCAACGCCGCGUGGAGGAUGACGCAUUUCGGUGUGUAAACUCCUUUUAUUAGGGAAGAUAAUGACGGUACCUAAUGAAUAAGCACCGGCUAACCCCGUGCCAGCAGCCGCGGUAAUACGGAGGGUGCAAGCGUUACUCGGAAUCACUGGGCGUAAAGGGUGCGUAGGCUGGCUUUUAAGUCAGAUGUGAAAUCCAAUGGCUCAACCAUUGAACUGCAUUUGAAACUGAAAGCCUAGAGUUCAGAAGGGGCAGAUGGAAUUAGUGGUGUAGGGGUAAAAUCCGUAGAUAUCACUAGGAAUACCGAUUGCGAAGGCGAUCUACUGGAACAUUAUGA